CCAGCUAUCUUUACCUCUCUCUCUCUCUCAUCGACAAGCUUUUUCUUCUUUUUCUUCAAAUUCUCCGUUGAGCGGGAGAUUCUCCAGCCAAAAGCAGAAGUUUUCAUGGAUUUUUGCACGGGACCCAUAUUGAGAGGUAUUAAGCAGAUAAAGGUUAGAAGCAGAUCAAAUCCCCCUUUCUUCCCUCCAUUUGCAUUAUUGAGAGUAUCUCAUUUGUGAAUGGGAGAUCAGUUCAAAUGCUAGAAAAAAUGUCUCUAAAGCUAAAGAGUCAUUCAAGUAUGGUCAUUCGAUUAGGAGAGUCGUGACCUUGUUUCUCAUGAUGCAUCUUGAUCCUCUUGAUGCCCUUGAUCCUCGUGAUUCCGAUAUCAUUAAGAUUAUGCACCAUGAGAACAAGGUCGCGACUCUCUCAUUGGUUUCAUCAUUUUCCGUAGCAUUUCCAACAUUCCUAACUAAAUAAGUUGCAUUAACGCACCUCGGUCAUUUUACUACCUCUGUUUAAACACUUGGAUGGCAUGCGAGCACAUGACAAGCCACAAGCACCACUAUUCACUCUACAUUGACACUUUGUUGUCUUGGGGGUAGAAGAUCUUGAAUUUCUUGCACCGGGUGACAUUGUUCGAGUACAAUCACUGUCCAAACAAUUCAAAUACCAAUAUAUUAAAAAUAUCCUUAUUUGACAACC
Molecule: long non-coding RNA, 682 nt
Organism: Benincasa hispida (wax gourd)
Lineage: Eukaryota; Viridiplantae; Streptophyta; Magnoliopsida; Cucurbitales; Cucurbitaceae
Source: RefSeq, a predicted model, not a curated record